Molecule: ribosomal RNA, 397 nt
Filed under: uncultured bacterium
Lineage: Bacteria
Description: bacterial SSU rRNA
Rfam family: Bacterial small subunit ribosomal RNA
Source: RNAcentral
AUUGAACGCUGGCGGAAUGCUUUACACAUGCAAGUCGAACGGCAGCACGGGGCAACCUGGUGGCGAGUGGCGAACGGGUGAGUAAUACAUCGGAACGUGCCCAAUCGUGGGGGAUAACGUAGCGAAAGUUACGCUAAUACCGCAUACGAUCUACGGAUGAAAGCGGGGGAUCGCAAGACCUCGCGCGAAUGGAGCGGCCGAUGUCAGAUUAGGUAGUUGGUGGGGUAAAGGCUCACCAAGCCGACGAUCUGUAGCUGGUCUGAGAGGACGACCAGCCACACUGGGACUGAGACACGGCCCAGACUCCUACGGGAGGCAGCAGUGGGGAAUUUUGGACAAUGGGCGCAAGCCUGAUCCAGCCAUUCCGCGUGCAGGAUGAAGGCCUCGGUUGUAACGU